This 444-nucleotide ribosomal RNA is filed under the name uncultured bacterium. RNAcentral describes it as "bacterial SSU rRNA". It matches the Rfam family "Bacterial small subunit ribosomal RNA", at positions 355 to 796 of the family's 1533-position model. The record is from RNAcentral.
UGGGGAAUUUUGGACAAUGGGGGCAACCCUGAUCCAGCGACGCCGCGUGAAGGAUGAAGGUCUUCGGAUUGUAAACUUCUUUUAGAGGGGAUGAAUGCCUGCGUGAAUAACGCAGGGUGACAGUACCCUUUGAAUAAGCCACGGCUAACUACGUGCCAGCAGCCGCGGUAAUACGUAGGUGGCAAGCGUUACUCGGAAUCACUAGGCGUAAAGCGCAGGUAGGCGGUUCGGUAAGUCUUUUGUGAAAGCUCCUGGCUCAACUGGGAGAGGUCAAAGGAAACUACCGGGCUAGAGUUUGGUAGGGGAUACUGGAAUUCCUGGUGUAGCGGUGAAAUGCGUAGAUAUCAGGAGGAAUACCUAUGGCGAAAGCAGGUAUCUGGGCCACAACUGACGCUGAGCUGCGAAAGCUAGGGGAGCAAACAGGAUUAGAUACCCCGGUAGUCC